GAUGAACGCUGGCGGCGUGCCUUAUACAUGCAAGUCGAGUGGGUUUAGACCCACGGCAAACGGGUGAGUAACACGUAGGUACUUUCCUUGUCACAGGAAUAACCCUCCGAAAGGAGGGCUAAUACCUGAUGUGAUCGCAAGAUUAAAGGGUAUCCGCAAGGAUUACCGGACAAGAAGAGGCCUGCGGCCUAUCAGCUAGUUGGCGGGGUAAAUGCCCACCAAGGCUAUGACGGGUAGCUGGUCUUAUGAGGAUGAUCAGUCACAUGGGCACUGAGACACGGGCCCAACUCCUACGGGAGGCAGCAGUAGGGAAUUUUGCGCAAUGGGCGAAAGCCUGACGCAGCGACGCCGCGUGCGGGAUGAAGGCCUUCGGGUCGUAAACCGCUUUUAUAAGGGACGAACUUUGACGGUACCUUAUGAAUAAGAGGGUGCUAACUCUGUG
Molecule: ribosomal RNA, 442 nt
Filed under: uncultured bacterium
Lineage: Bacteria
Description: partial 16S ribosomal RNA
Rfam family: Bacterial small subunit ribosomal RNA
Source: RNAcentral